AGAGAAGGCUUCAGAGGUGAAUCAGUGAGGAGAGGUUCCUGAGAGACGAACGGGCGUCGGAGGAGUUAUGUGCAGCACAACUGGGACGCGCUGGAGCACGUGACACAAGGCACUGUGUCACAGAAUCCCCAGACAUACAGCCUGUUGCAAGGGUGCAGAGGACUCAUGCUCCGGCUAGUCCCCACGCAGGCCUUUUGAGAAGGUGAAUCAGCGUGUGUUAGCUCAGGGCAGAGGGCCUGGCGGUGAGACGUGAGAACAGCCAAUGUCAUGGCGGUGGGGGAGUGGACGUGAGCCAUCUGGGGCCCAGCAAACAGCAUGUUGAAAAAAACGAGGAACUCAAAGGCAGAUGAGCCUACCACGCUGGGAACAGUUGGGAGUACAUUGCUCAAGCCCCGGCCAGUUUUAUGUCACUGCUGGUGUGAAGCAGUGAACAGUGACCCAGCAUGCAUCCAGGUGGCGGGACAGAGUCAGACUCUCCAGGGCAGAGAGACUCUAAAACUGACGGCCAGGUCUUGCUCAGACUACGGGCCUGAGGGAAGAUCCAAGACUGAAACAGGGCUUGGAAUGGAGGGGGUGGAGUUGAGGAGAUCACAGAGGACCUAGGAGUGUGUGUAUCGGAGAGAGAUAGGAAACCACUGACCGUUCAGCACACAUUCAGAAUUACUGCCUGUCCCAGGGAGGGACCCACAGCUCCGGCGCUCCGUUCAGCAUCUGGAAGAGCAUAGCUCGCUGUGAGCGGCCGCCCCAGAAGACUGUAUCCCACCCAGCCAGCUCUCCUGCCUGCUUGCCUCUGCCCCACACCAGGACACUUCAUACUGUCAGAACCACUGGGUGUGUGAGCUUGUGAGAGGGUGUGUGGGCACACAUGUCCCUGUGUGGGGUGUGGAGGUCAGAGGGCAACUUGGAGGAAUUGGUUCUCUCCUUCCACCACUGGGGCCCAGGAAUCAAGCCGAGGUUCCCAGACGUGGUAGCAGCCUCCCUUACCUGUUAAACCAGUGCUUCCCAGACUUCCUAAUGCUGUGACCUCAUGCUGUGCUGACCCCCGCCCAUGACAUUAUCUCUGUUGGUAUUUUAUAACUGUAAUUUUGCUACUAUUAUGAAUCACAAUGUAAAUGUCUGUUUUC
Long non-coding RNA from Mus musculus (house mouse), 1124 nucleotides. RefSeq annotates it as predicted gene, 19696. The transcript has 4 exons. The record is from RefSeq and is marked validated. NCBI's taxonomy places the organism in Eukaryota, Metazoa, Chordata, Mammalia, Rodentia, Muridae.